UACGUAGGGUGCGAGCGUUGUCCGGAAUUAUUGGGCGUAAAGAGCUCGUAGGCGGUGUGUCACGUCGGCCGUGAAAACCUGGGGCUUAACUCUGGGCGUGCGGUCGAUACGGGCAUCACUAGAGUUCGGCAGGGGAGACUGGAAUUCCUGGUGUAGCGGUGAAAUGCGCAGAUAUCAGGAGGAACACCGGUGGCGAGGGCGGGUCUCUGGGCCGAUACUGACGCUGAGGAGCGAAAGCAUGGGGAGCGAACAGG
Molecule: ribosomal RNA, 254 nt
Filed under: uncultured bacterium
Lineage: Bacteria
Description: partial 16S ribosomal RNA
Rfam family: Bacterial small subunit ribosomal RNA
Source: RNAcentral